AAAUACAUUCUCACACACACACACAAUCAAUUCCCAACUAAACCUAAUUCACAUCUCCAAAACAUCUCAUUCAACUCUCUGUCUCCCUGUUGCUGCUCCUCACUUUGCCGAUCACCUCCGCCGUUACUAGUGUUGUCAAUCGCUGCCGUUGCCGCUAGUGUUGCCGAUCGUCGCCAUCACCACUUGCCCUACCGGUCACAGUCGAUUGUCUCCUCUUAGAUCGCCUCACCGCUCAUCGAUUUGCCAUGAACACAGGUGCCUAUUGAGUUCGAUAAAGAAUGUAUGACAAUUGCCAAAAAAGCAAUCCCCAAGACAGAAAAAGUUUAUGUUGUUUUUUCAGGUAAAGAUGUGGCAAUCCCGCUGAGUUGAGGGCGUAGGUAUAUUUUAUGAAGAGUAGAAUACUCUAUUUUUGUUGUGGAUUUAAAUGCUAGCCAAUGGUUGUUCAUGUAUGGGCCCGAGAGGCCAUUUUUGUAUGACCGGGCUUAAGCCUCGGAAAAUGUAAGCCCUUAGGGGCAUUUUAUUUCUUUUGGAUUUUAAUGCUCUAAAUGCUAUAGAUUCAUGUAUUUCUAAAUCAUUGAAUGUAUAAUUUGCAUGUGGAACUUUUGUAUAAA
Camellia sinensis is the source of this 611-nucleotide non-coding RNA. Lineage: Eukaryota; Viridiplantae; Streptophyta; Magnoliopsida; Ericales; Theaceae. The record is from RefSeq and is a predicted model, not a curated record.